This 873-nucleotide long non-coding RNA is filed under the name Salvia miltiorrhiza (redroot sage). RNAcentral's name for it is "long non-coding RNA (SMIL_LNC009511)". The record is from RNAcentral. Lineage: Eukaryota; Viridiplantae; Streptophyta; Magnoliopsida; Lamiales; Lamiaceae.
CCCCUUUCUUUUGGGCACGGAAAUUAAGAAGAAGAUAGUUAUGUUUAAUUAAUUGUGGUGCACCAAAAUUAAGGAAUUAAUUAAGACAUCCUCAGUCUAACUUCUCCUUCCUCCUCUCCCUGCAUUUGGCCACCGGCAACAGUGGCGCCGGCGCCGGCGCCGGCGGUCGUCGUUCUGCCAUCCGCCUGAAAUCCUCCCCAAAUCAAACUUUAUCGGCGAUGGCAGAAAUCAUCCACAAAAAUGAGGGGGUUUUUUAGCCAAAUCAAUUCGACAAAAAAUAAGCACAAAUCAUCCCCAAUCGACAAAAAAUCAGCACAAAUCAUCCCAAAAAAUGUGGGGGUUUUGAGCAAAAUCAAUUCGACAAAAAAUCAACACAAAUCAUACCCAAUCGACCAAAAAAAUCAACACAAAUCAUCCCCAAAUCAGCACAGAUCUUCAUCGCUUACUUUGACGACGGCGGCGGAUUCAGACUGGGAAGAAGAAGACCGGCGCGACUCGCCGGAUUUUCAGAGUUUGAGGCAGCGGCGCAAAUGGCCCCACAGACCACCCUGAGACCCCCAAAUCAAGAACCCCAAACCAGACCCCCAAAUCACGACCACCAAACCACCUCCACCACCGCCGACCAUCCUCAGAUCUAGGCGGCCACGCCGCUGGCCACCCUUAGAUUUGUGCGUCUGUGUGCGUGAAACGACGCUUUCAAGGUGUGUGUGAGCGCAACGAGAGAGAGGGAGAGAGCAGAGACGAGUGUGAGGGAGGUCGGGGACGGGGCGGCGGCCGGCGCUGCUAUCUUUCGCCGGAGAAGAAAUGAGACAGAGAUGAAGAAAGCGGGAGGGGGGAGGGGGUGGCAGGGACCGAGUGUGGUGUUUGUGUGUG